Long non-coding RNA from Mus musculus (house mouse), 2425 nucleotides. RefSeq annotates it as microRNA 217 host gene. Lineage: Eukaryota; Metazoa; Chordata; Mammalia; Rodentia; Muridae. The transcript is spliced from 6 exons. The record is from RefSeq and is a predicted model, not a curated record.
CUCCCUAAGGUUUCAUGACUUGAAAAGAGAUCAAAAGCCACCAAAGGUUCACCUUUAGUGAGUAGCUAAUAGUAAAGUUGUUUAAAAUGCACUUAAUAAUGUUUACCUCUCCAAGGGUUAAGAAUCCUUGGGGUGGUGGAUGCUAACUCUUUUAGAAAUAUUGAGACUAAAAAGGGAAACACUUCUAUUAAGUACACCUGUGUGUUUAGAUGUGUUGUCAGGGGCCGUUUUCACCUUUCUAACUCUAAACAUUGAUACCCACGCUCUCAUUGUCUCACCUAUGUCUAAGACUUCCAAAUGCUCACAGAAACAACCUGAGGCUGAAAACCAGCAAACUGGCUGUCAACAAAACGUGCCAUUUGUCACACACUCUUAGCAACUGUGUUCUUCGGUCCUGUUCCUAGUCUGAGCCCUGGUGAUCCCAAGAAGACCUUAGGACACACAGCUUUUCCAGAAGAGCUGUGCCAGAUGCCCUCAUCUUCUCUAUGAAGUUAGCAACUUGACUUAAUAACAUUCCAGUGAUGUAGAAUGCUACUCCUCUCCUCCCCUCCUCACAAAACCAUCUCUAAACUCCUGAACUACUGCCCACAAAGUCCCCAAUGGUCUUUCACAGUGCUGGGCUGGUUGGUGGAUUAUAUUGAUGGAUUUUUGUAUACUGAACCAUCCCCACAUCCCUGUGAAGAAGUCUACCAGUUCAUGAUGUCAAGGGUGCAGAAGGGACCUGAUGACCCACGCUAAAAGCAUUCAUCAACUUAUGAGGUUCCAAGCAGUUGAUGUAAGGUGGAAAGUCUUAAGUUGUAUGAAAUGAUUCAGCCAUCCACAUCACAGAACUACAGCUGGGCCACACUCUGUAAGUAUCUGUUAUUAUGGAAAGCAUGCCAUAUGAGGUGCUUUUCAUUUCUGGGUAAGUGAUGAACACUAUGUUGAAACUUGUCACACAUUUGACCAAACAUUCCCUAAUCCUACUGUGCUCAUUUGAGCCAGAUGCACAGAGUGGGCAUGCCUAUUUCCUAUUACUAACUCGUUGAUCUGGCCUUAAGAGCAACUUGGGAAUGGGGGUCAUGGACUAUGUCACAUCAGUCACAGAUAACAAACCAUCACAUAAUAUCUUAAUUCAUAAAUAAUAGCCCUUCUGAGAAUCCACAUGACACCCACAUGCUGGAUGGCAUCUGAAAGUGCUGAGAGUUGAAAUCACAUGCAGCCAGGCAAGCCCCUGCUGAAUUCACAUCUAAGGAGCUUUGUAUGUAUUGUUUAUUCCAGCAACUUUAUGGAAUAAAUUAUGUACAACAAAUUGGUUUCAGAUGGUGGAAUAUGAGGAGCUGAUGUGCAGUACAAGAAAGGUGAACUCCCACUUUGACUAAAUCACUUCCUCUUUGGCAUCUCAGUCUUACAAUCCAGAUGCAGCUUAGUUUUGAAAUGUGGUAGAGAUUAGAAAGCUAAGAAGUUGUGAGGAUUAGAGACUUAAAAAACCAUGGGUAUUGACCGUUAAUUCACCACCCCGCCUUGUCAGUUUGGGGUUGCUGUGCAUGGAAGCAUGAGAGAAUCUAAACAUACUCUUCCUCCAUCUCUGCCUUAUGAACAGUGACUGAAGUCAAAUGUCCUCCUAACAUUUUCUGCCCAUCCACGGAUUCAACACAUGUAAAAGCUCACUGAUUAUCACCACAUGGGACCAACAUUCACACUCAUGAAAGAAAGUAGGUAAGGUGGCACACACCUGAAAUCCCAGCACUUUGGAAGUGAGGCAGGAGAAUCAAGUGUCCAAGGCCUGCAGAGGCUACUCAAGACAUCUUGUUUUAAAGGGGAAAAGAAAGAAGAGAAGGAAGUGCACUGUAAUCCUGAGACAUGUCUUUCCCUUCCCUCUGAAGCUAGUCUUUUUGAAGAAUUAUGUCUAACAGUAAAGUGCAUUACUUGGUAUACAGCUGUAAGAAUUUACUAACUGUAUAAACUCCACUAAGUUGGAUCACUCACAUACCCUGAAGCUUUCAUGUGUCAGUCCUCCCUGCCUCUAGGCACUGGCAAACCAUGGGUCUGUCCCUUUGGUUUUAUGUUUUUAAGAAGAUCUUAUAGCCUUUGCCACAUAACAUUUCCUCAUCAAAAUUACUUUGAGAAUCCCUGACAUGCUGCACAUAACAGCUCCCUCCCACUGCAAUCUGACUAUUGUAUAUGAACAGUUUUUCCUCUUCCCAGUUGAAAAACUCCAGGAGCUUUCUAUUUUUGUUAAUUAUAAAUAAAUGUACUGUUAACACAUGUGUAUCUGUUUCUAUUGUGCCUGUCAGACUUUAUUUCUCCUGAGUCAAUAGCUAGGAAUGAGAUUGCUGAGCCAAAUCUAUACACAAAUGCAUAACAAUAUACACCCCUACCAGUCUUUUUUCCCCAUAGUAGGUAAUACUAGCUAUUAAAGGUGCCUUUAGUAUUUAGUUAAUUU